AUUUAUUUAUUUAUUAUUAUUUUAUUCAUGUCCUCGAAGAUCCUCUACAGGGCACAGCUUUUCAUUCUCUGAAAUUGAAAUAGUGACUAUUCACUAUUUCGUAGUGCAAUGUAUACCAAACGGUAUUCUUCGCACUACCAAAUAGUGAAUAUCGCUCAUUAAAUGAUGCGUGAAAGUAUAAAAUUUAACAUUAAUCUUGUCAUCUUGUCAACAUUUUAAUCUUGUCGAUGUAUUCACAUUGUGUUUAAUAACGAUAAUUAGAAAACUCUAGAUUUAGAUCCAUAAUCAAACGAUGAGAACUAUUUUAUAUACGUAUGUUAAUACAAAUUUAUUAGUUAUCACUGCAACUAAUAUUCGCAGUUACAAAACUUUUAUAAUCCAUGAAAUGUUAAGCUAUGACAAAUAAAUAUAACAGAUGUAAGGUUAUAAUCGACGUUCAGUUCAUAAAACAAGAGAGCGCAUGAAUAUAUUAUAAAUUAAUUUAUUUUUUCAAAUAAAUGCGACUUAUAAUUUUUAAUGAGAUACUUGUGAGUCCAAAAAAUUAUAAGUCACUAUCUUAGUCGACUG
Cotesia glomerata is the source of this 567-nucleotide long non-coding RNA. RefSeq lists it as uncharacterized. The transcript has 3 exons. NCBI's taxonomy places the organism in Eukaryota, Metazoa, Arthropoda, Insecta, Hymenoptera, Braconidae. The record is from RefSeq and is a predicted model, not a curated record.